RNAcentral lists this unclassified non-coding RNA (431 nucleotides) under soil metagenome. RNAcentral's name for it is "partial contains 5.8S ribosomal RNA, internal transcribed spacer 2, and large subunit ribosomal RNA". The stretch from base 1 to 120 matches the Rfam family "5.8S ribosomal RNA", at positions 35 to 154 of the family's 154-position model. The record is from RNAcentral.
GAUGAAGAACGCAGCGAAAUGCGAUACGUAAUGUGAAUUGCAGAAUUCAGUGAAUCAUCGAAUCUUUGAACGCAUAUUGCGCUCUCUGGUAUUCCGGAGAGCAUGCUUGUUUGAGUAUCAGUAAACACCUCAACUUCCAUAUCUUUUUUGAAAUGGGAGUUGGACUUGAGUGAUCCCAACGCUUUUCCUCACCGAAAAGUGGCGGGUUACUUGAAAUGCAGGUGCAGCUGGACUUUUCUCUGAGCUAUAAGCAUAUCUAUUUAGUCUGCCUAAAAAACAGAUUAUUACCUUUGCUGCAGCUAACAUAAAGGAGAUUAGUUCUUGUGCUGACUGAUGCAGGAUUCACAAAGACAGCUUCGGCCGACUUUGUAAACUCGAUCUCAAAUCAAGUAAGACUACCCGCUGAACUUAAGCAUAUCAAAAGCGGAGGA